AGGCUCACGGACGGCCCGAGCUUUCCCUCCCCACUACUUGGUGCGCUGCAGUCGGUCACUUACCGCAUACGGGUCCCUGUAAAUGAUAUGCACGCACACAAUCGAUUCUCGCUGGCGCGCGGCGUUCCGCGAUUUCAACUCAUUGCCAGAAUCAGAGCAAUCGAGCAACUCACAAGGGGAGGUUGAGAACUCGUCGUCAUCGAUUUCGGCCAAAUUCACAGUAUAUGUUGGGCUCGACUAGAACUUAAAGUGAGCCAAGUAAAAAGACGAGAUGGCCAAGCGUUUUGCAGAUAUUAUUGUUUAAACAUUUUAUGUGUAGUACACAAGCUUUUUAAGAUUACGUGUGGAACAAAUAAUGGUCAGCGCAGCGGCAAGCGUUCGGAUUCAUAGCAUGAGGCUCGUGGGUUCGAUUCCGUGCACAGAAUCAAUUUUACUGAACCCGCCAUGUAAAAUAAAGGGAAACGAAUCUGUCGCAGUACCUCACGGGUGAUUUGGAAAACUGCGAGUUAUGAGACCAGAAUUGCAAAUUAAUUAGUUCCAAAACUUCGAAUUAAAACUGGAAAUUAAAUUUUCAGUGAAAAAUGAUAUGUGUAAUUUUGAGUUCGAAUCAUAAUAUUAAAAAUCAGAAACGGGUUUUUAACUCAAAAAUUAAGAUUGAGGAGUUUCAAAAUAAAUUUCUUAUUCGAAUGACAGAACUAAAAAAUUGAAAAUUACUUUUUCAUUCGAAUGAUGUAAUUAAGGAUGCAGAUAAUAUUGUAUUACUUAGUUCUUAUUUUGACAGUAACAAUUGGGAAAUAAAAAAAAUUCACCUAGUGCUAA
Molecule: long non-coding RNA, 819 nt
Organism: Athalia rosae (coleseed sawfly)
Lineage: Eukaryota; Metazoa; Arthropoda; Insecta; Hymenoptera; Athaliidae
Exons: 3
Source: RefSeq, a predicted model, not a curated record